GGCGUGAAUCCAAUGAACCGCAGCUUCACCCCUGUGGUGCUCCCCCGCCAAUCCUUUAAGUUCAUACUUGCGUACGUACUUCCCAGGCGGCAGACUUAACGGCUUCCCUGCGGCACUGCAUUGGCCACAAGCCAAUGCAUCACCGAGUCUGCAUCGUUUACAGCUGGGACUACCCGGGUAUCUAAUCCGGUUUGCUCCCCCAGCUUUCAUCCCUCACCGUCGAACGUGUUCUGGUACACCGCGUUCGCCACAGGUGGUCUUCAAUAGAUCAAAGGAUUUUACCCCUUCCUAUCGAGUACCGUGUACCUCUCCCACUCCCUAGCUGCACAGUAUUUUCGGCGGCCUAUACGUUAAGCGCAUAGAUUUAACCGAAAACUUAUGCAACCGGCUACGGAUGCUUUAGGCCCAAUAAACCUCCUGACCACUCGAGGUGCUGGUUUUACCGCGGCGGCUGACACCAGAACUUGCCCACCCCUUAUUCACCAGUGAUUCUACAACUGACAAAAGACUCCUUUAGCAGGAGACACUCGGAUUAACCUUGUCGUGCUUUCGCACAUUGCAAAGGUUUCUCGCCUGCUGCGCCCAUAG
This 588-nucleotide ribosomal RNA is filed under the name uncultured archaeon. RNAcentral describes it as "partial 16S ribosomal RNA". The record is from RNAcentral.